This is a long non-coding RNA of Humulus lupulus (European hop), 388 nucleotides long. RefSeq lists it as uncharacterized. The transcript is spliced from 2 exons. Lineage: Eukaryota; Viridiplantae; Streptophyta; Magnoliopsida; Rosales; Cannabaceae. The record is from RefSeq and is a predicted model, not a curated record.
CCUCAUCUUCCUCUCUGUUUCAAUAUCCUUCUUCCCAGCCCAAACAAACGGAACGGACCGAGCAAACGCAACUCGGCGGCAGCAGUGCCCAGCCCACUCCGGCGACUGCUUCACGGACACAGUGACCCUUCCCACUUUGACGACCGCUUCACGGACACAGUGACUCGAGGAGCAGGUGGUCAUGGUUGCUUGAUGCAGGCCAUGAAAUGAAUGAAUGCUGGAUUUUGGAUUGGACUUUGUUUUCUAUCUAUUCUUUUGAAAUUUGAACUUGAUUUGUGUUGUUGUAGUCGAUUAGACUUAGAUUUAAUUUGUGUUGUAAUGGACUAUGGACUAUGGACUUUGGACUUUAAGUUUAAACUUUAAUCAUGUGUUGAGAUUUGUGGUUGUA